This 34-nucleotide transfer RNA is filed under the name Leptochilus wrightii. RNAcentral's name for it is "partial tRNA-Leu". RNAcentral also lists the same sequence under 12 other names. The record is from RNAcentral. Lineage: Eukaryota; Viridiplantae; Streptophyta; Polypodiopsida; Polypodiales; Polypodiaceae.
AAAAUCCGUUGGUUUCACGGGACCGUGAGGGUUC